This 382-nucleotide ribosomal RNA is filed under the name uncultured bacterium. Its description in RNAcentral is "bacterial SSU rRNA". It matches the Rfam family "Bacterial small subunit ribosomal RNA", at positions 30 to 412 of the family's 1533-position model. The record is from RNAcentral.
AUUGAACGCUGGCGGCAUGCCUUACACAUGCAAGUCGAACGGCAGCGGACCUUCGGGUGCCGGCGAGUGGCGAACGGGUGAGUAAUGCAUCGGAACGUGCCAUUGAGUGGGGGGAUAAACGUAGCGAAAGUUACGCUAAUACCGCAUAUUCUGUGAGCAGGAAAGAGGGGGAUCGCAAGACCUCUUGCUUUAGGAGCGGCCGAUGUCGGAUUAGCUAGUUGGUGAGGUAAAGGCUCACCAAGGCGACGAUCCGUAGCGGGUCUGAGAGGAUGAUCCGCCACACUGGGACUGAGACACGGCCCAGACUCCUACGGGAGGCAGCAGUGGGGAAUUUUGGACAAUGGGCGCAAGCCUGAUCCAGCCAUGCCGCGUGAGUGAAGAA